Molecule: ribosomal RNA, 468 nt
Filed under: uncultured bacterium
Lineage: Bacteria
Description: bacterial SSU rRNA
Rfam family: Bacterial small subunit ribosomal RNA
Source: RNAcentral
GCCUACGGGGGGCUGCAGUGGGGAAUUUUGGACAAUGGGGGCAACCCUGAUCCAGCAAUGCCGCGUGUGUGAAGAAGGCCUUCGGGUUGUAAAGCACUUUUGUCCGGAAAGAAAUCGCGCUGGUUAAUACCUGGCGUGGAUGACGGUACCGGAAGAAUAAGCACCGGCUAACUACGUGCCAGCAGCCGCGGUAAUACGUAGGGUGCGAGCGUUAAUCGGAAUUACUGGGCGUAAAGCGUGCGCAGGCGGUUUUGUAAGACAGGCGUGAAAUCCCCGGGCUUAACCUGGGAAUUGCGCUUGUGACUGCAAGGCUAGAGUGCGUCAGAGGGGGGUAGAAUUCCACGUGUAGCAGUGAAAUGCGUAGAGAUGUGGAGGAAUACCGAUGGCGAAGGCAGCCCCCUGGGACGUGACUGACGCUCAUGCACGAAAGCGUGGGGAGCAAACAGGAUUAGAUACCCCUGUAGUCGC